GUACACUCCUACGGGAGGCAGCAGUGGGGAAUAUUGGACAAUGGGCGCAAGCCUGAUCCAGCCAUGCCGCGUGAGUGAUGAAGGCCCUAGGGUUGUAAAGCUCUUUCACCGGUGAAGAUAAUGACGGUAACCGGAGAAGAAGCCCCGGCUAACUUCGUGCCAGCAGCCGCGGUAAUACGAAGGGGGCUAGCGUUGUUCGGAUUUACUGGGCGUAAAGCGCACGUAGGCGGACUAUUAAGUCAGGGGUGAAAUCCCGGGGCUCAACCCCGGAACUGCCUUUGAUACUGGUAGUCUUGAGUUCGAGAGAGGUGAGUGGAAUUCCGAGUGUAGAGGUGAAAUUCGUAGAUAUUCGGAGGAACACCAGUGGCGAAGGCGGCUCACUGGCUCGAUACUGACGCUGAGGUGCGAAAGCGUGGGGAGCAAACAGGAUUAGAUACCCUAGUAGUCCC
This 449-nucleotide ribosomal RNA is filed under the name uncultured organism. RNAcentral describes it as "partial 16S ribosomal RNA". It matches the Rfam family "Bacterial small subunit ribosomal RNA", at positions 331 to 797 of the family's 1533-position model. The record is from RNAcentral.